RNAcentral lists this ribosomal RNA (69 nucleotides) under Clostridium perfringens. RNAcentral describes it as "partial 16S ribosomal RNA". It matches the Rfam family "Bacterial small subunit ribosomal RNA", at positions 1 to 67 of the family's 1533-position model. The record is from RNAcentral. Lineage: Bacteria; Bacillati; Bacillota; Clostridia; Eubacteriales; Clostridiaceae.
UUUAAAUUGAGAGUUUGAUCCUGGCUCAGGAUGAACGCUGGCGGCGUGCUUAACACAUGCAAGUCGAGC